Molecule: ribosomal RNA, 456 nt
Filed under: uncultured archaeon
Lineage: Archaea
Description: bacterial SSU rRNA
Rfam family: Archaeal small subunit ribosomal RNA
Source: RNAcentral
UGAGUCUUUGUAGUAAUACAAGGCAUACUGCUCAGUAACACGUACUCAAUCUAACCUAUGGACAGGGAUAAUCUCGGGAAACUGAGCAUAAUACCUGAUAGAUCAUUAUGCCUGGAAUGGCUUAUGGUUGAAAUGAUUCGUUCGCCAUAGGAUGGGACUGCGGCCUAUCACGUUUGNUGGUGAGGUAAUGGCCCACCAAGACUAUUACAGGUACGGGCUCUGAGAGGAGAAGCCCGGAGAUGGGUACUGAGACACGGACCCAGGCCCUAUGGGGCGCAGCAGGCGAGAAAACUUUGCAAUGUGCGAAAGCACGACAAGGUUAAUCCGAGUGAUUCCUGCUAAAGGAAUCUUUUGUUAGUCGUAAAACCCUAUCGAAUAGGAGUGGGCAAGUUCUGGUGUCAGCCGCCGCGGUAAACCAGCACCUCAAGUGUCAGGAUAUUAUUGGGCCUAAGCAUC